This 807-nucleotide ribosomal RNA is filed under the name uncultured bacterium. RNAcentral's name for it is "bacterial SSU rRNA". It matches the Rfam family "Bacterial small subunit ribosomal RNA", at positions 28 to 802 of the family's 1533-position model. The record is from RNAcentral.
GACGAACGCUGGCGGCGUACUUAACACAUGCAAGUCGUACGCUUCUUAUCUCCCCUCGGGGGGGUAAGGGGAGUGGCGAACGGGUGCGUAACACGUGAGCAACCUGCCCCUGUGCGGGGGAUAACCUCGGGAAACCGGGGCUAAAACCGCAUGAGCUUGCCCGGCUUCAUGGCUGGGCAAGGAAAAGUGCUUGAAUGCACUGCGCAGGGAGGGGCUCGCGGCGUAUCAGCUAGUUGGUGAGGUAACGGCUCACCAAGGCAACGACGCGUAGGGGGUCUGAGAGGAUGGCCCCCCACAUUGGGACUGAGAUACGGCCCAGACUCCUACGGGAGGCAGCAGUGGGGAAUCUUGCGCAAUGGCCGAAAGGCUGACGCAGCGACGCCGCGUGGGGGAGGAAGCUUUUCGGAGUGUAAACCCCUGUCAGGAGGGACGAAUCCCUGAGGGAGGCAAUGCCAUCAGGUUGACGGUACCUCCAGAGGAAGCACCGGCUAACUCCGUGCCAGCAGCCGCGGUAAUACGGAGGGUGCGAGCGUUGUUCGGAAUUAUUGGGCGUAAAGCGCGCGUAGGUGGUGGCUUAAGUCUACCUGUGAAAUGCCGGGGCUCAACCCCGAUGUAGUGCAGGAGAUACUGGGUCGCUGGAGACAGGGGAGAGGCAGGCGGCAAUUCCGGGUGUAGCGGCGGAAUGCGUAGAGAUCCGGAAGAACACCAGAGGCGAAGGCGGACUGCUGGGACCCUGUUCUGACAACUGAGGUGCGAAAGCCGGUAGGGGAGCAAACCAGGAUUAGAUACCCUGGGUAGUCCACGCCG